Molecule: ribosomal RNA, 591 nt
Filed under: Salmonella enterica
Lineage: Bacteria; Pseudomonadati; Pseudomonadota; Gammaproteobacteria; Enterobacterales; Enterobacteriaceae
Also listed under: 1 other name
Description: partial 23S ribosomal RNA
Rfam family: Bacterial large subunit ribosomal RNA
Source: RNAcentral
AGACCCGAAACCCGGUGAUCUAGCCAUGGGCAGGUUGAAGGUUGGGUAACACUAACUGGAGGACCGAACCGACUAAUGUUGAAAAAUUAGCGGAUGACCUGUGGCUGGGGGUGAAAGGCCAAUCAAACCGGGAGAUAGCUGGUUCUCCCCGAAAGCUAUUUAGGUAGCGCCUCGUGAAUUCAUCUCCGGGGGUAGAGCACUGUUUCGGCUAGGGGGCCAUCCCGGCUUACCAACCCGAUGCAAACUGCGAAUACCGGAGAAUGUUAUCACGGGAGACACACGGCGGGUGCUAACGUCCGUCGUGAAGAGGGAAACAACCCAGACCGCCAGCUAAGGUCCCAAAGUCAUGGUUAAGUGGGAAACGAUGUGGGAAGGCCCAGACAGCCAGGAUGUUGGCUUAGAAGCAGCCAUCAUUUAAAGAAAGCGUAAUAGCUCACUGGUCGAGUCGGCCUGCGCGGAAGAUGUAACGGGGCUAAACCAUGCACCGAAGCUGCGGCAGCGACGCUUAUGCGUUGUUGGGUAGGGGAGCGUUCUGUAAGCCUGUGAAGGUGUGUCGUGAGGCAUGCUGGAGGUAUCAGAAGUGCGAAUGCU